UGAAAAAUUUGAAAAAUGAAAAAUUGAAAAUAACUUCAUGAGCAAUAAAAUUUAACGCGAUAAAAUUUGCUGUUCAAGUGUUGAUUCAAUUAUGCGAUUCAUCAUGUUGAGAAUUAUUCCUUCCUGAUUUUAUUCUAGUGACUGGCGAUGAUUUAUUCAAUUAGAAACACCAGUACCAGUUGGAAUUAUCUUAUUACGGGUUAGAUAGAAAAACUGAUGAACGAAGAACGAACAAGACAAGAAACUGUCAAUAGUGCAGUUUACUUCAAUUUGUGAUUAUACGUACAUGCAUAUCUCCAGAGAUGAAGAUGACGCAUCGGACGAGUAUUGAUGGUGUUUCAUAAUCGGGAUGAGAAGAACUGAACUUUUUGGUCGAACUACUAGCUUUUCGAACACACAUUCACACAUAUAUAAAUCUUUGUAGACGAUGAAAAAUAAACAAGGCCAACGGUAGAUGGUGAAUCGGACGAGUAUGCCGUCGUUACGUUCUUCUAGAGAAAAUUUCAUGUGGAUGUUUACAAAGCGCAGUUUCAUAUUGAAGUUAAAGAAAGUGUGCAAAAUGAAAAGCACGCUCGCCUACCUUAAAGAUGCUUCAUCUUGCGGAAAAAACACUUACAUUCUUUCUAAAAAUCGUUGAAGUUUUGUCUUCAACCUGUGUGACCUGUGUGAAAGUGAUGAAAAUGUUUGUAUGAGUCUUGGCGGUUCUAUUAAUAUCAUGUAUUUUUUUUUUUUUUUUACUUUUUUCGCGCAGCGUCUAUGUUUUUUUCCAACUUGACGAUUUUUUUGCUUUUAAAGCAUUUUUUGGGGAUGUCAUUCUUUUUUUUCAAAUUGAUUUUUUUCUCUAGUUUGGCGGGUUUUUUGCUUGUUGAUUUUUUUUAAGCAUCUUGCAGGCAUGAAAUUCGAUCACUUGAAAAGUGACUCAGUCACCACUUGCAAGUCACUUUGUUCACUAUUUCGGCGAAAAAGACCAAAUUUCAAAGAUUUGUCUUGUAAAAAAGGAAAAGUGCAAAAUUUUAGGAAAUGAUCAAUAUUUUUCAUGAUAAUCCUGAAUCGUCAUUUUAAAAAAAAUGAAAAUGAACUAUUCUACAUUGAAAAUGUAAGCCGAUGUGAUUGGAUAGAGUCGAUAUUUUCUAAACCGUACAAAAGUAGAUCGAAAGAUAAGGCAAAAAUUUAUCAUCUGUCAAAAUUUCAAGUGCUAAAGUGCCUUUUUCGAUUUUUGGUGAAUUUUUGAAAAUCAAAUUGAGGCUAAAAAUGAGGGAAAAAAUCAAAUGAUUUUGAAGCUUCCAGCUGCUCUUUGGAAAUUUCAAUUUUCCAAAAAACGCCGUACAACCUUUCAAAAAGUCGCCGGAGCCUCACUGAGGCUCCAAAACGACUUGAAAUCCACCAGCAGUUGACUUCGUUGCGUAUUGAAAGUAGUUUGCAGAAUGAAUGCCGGCUUUCCAUCUCCAGUUGAUGAAAUUUUAGGAAAUUUCAAGGUUCAAAAAUCUACUGGAAUUGCCAGUAAUUUUCAAAAAGUCGCUGGAGGCUCCGAAACGACUUGAAAUCCACCUGCAGUCGAAUUCGUGGCGUAUCGAAAUUAGUUUGCAGAAUGAAUUUUGGCUUUCCAACUCUAUUUGAUGAAAUUUUGUGGGGAUUUCGGGUUUAAAAAUUUGCUGGAGGCUCCAGAAUUGCUCAAAACGGAUUGAAACAGUUUCCAAUCGAUUUGGCGUGUCGAAAAUAGGGUACCUAUAUCCCAAAUUGCAGCUUUCUUGGUCAAUUAGGUAAAAUUUUGAUUUUUUCCCCGCAUUUUUGGCCUGAAUUUGAUUUUUAGAAAUUCACCAAAAAUCGUAAUAGGCACUUUGGCAUUUGAAAUUCUGGCAGGUGAUGAUGUGAUGAAUCUUUCCUUAUCUUUCGAUCUACCUUUGUAUGGUUUAAAAAAUUUCGUACAAGUCAGCUGUGUUGGAACGCAAAAUCUGCGCUUAUCAGUACCUUUGAAAUCAGAAAAAAAAACUAAUCAUCGGUCAACAUGAAAUACAUUUAAAUAUUCUUAUUUUUCGUUUUCUCAGUUGGUGCUAAAAACAAAAUUUUAUAUCCAUAAAAAAUAAAGAUUAAAAAAUCAAAAAGGUGGGUAUUAAAAGCAAGAUAGAGUUCUAAAAAUUUCAAGAUUAUAUUUUACCUGGGAGGAGAGGGGGGGGUUAGAACUUGAGAAAUGACAAUGCUGAAAAACGAACGAGCGGUAUUUUUUAACUUUCUG
Long non-coding RNA from Planococcus citri (citrus mealybug), 2233 nucleotides. RefSeq lists it as uncharacterized. The transcript has 4 exons. NCBI's taxonomy places the organism in Eukaryota, Metazoa, Arthropoda, Insecta, Hemiptera, Pseudococcidae. The record is from RefSeq and is a predicted model, not a curated record.